UAUUCCCACCUUCUGCAUACGAAGUCAGUUGCUCGCGCUGCCUCUCCAAACAUCUCAAGUGCGUUCUUCUGUAUCUAUUAUUUCGAAAAUAGAUACGUUUUAAUACAAUAUGUCUGAAGCAUAUUUACAAGAACUACUGGAGGAAAAAGAUCUUCUUGAUCCAAAUACCUUUGUUCAUUCAAUUCGGCUUUUGGAGGAUGAGGUUCUUCGAGUAACUGCUAAGAAUGAUGAAAACAGGGAUUACACUACAGCUGGAGGAUCAAGAACAGAAGACACACCAAAUGGUGAUUCUCCAUCUAGUAAAAAACCACGUUAUCGUACAUAUCAAGGAGCAGUUGUCACCGAGGAAAUUGUAAAACUCAGUGAAAAAGUCGUUGUUCCAGUCAAGGAGUAUCCAAAGUUUAAUUUUGUUGGCAAGUUACUCGGCCCACGCGGUAACACAUUAAAGCGACUUCAAGCUGCCACACAAACAAGAAUGUCAGUUCUUGGCAGAGGUUCAACAAGGGACAAAGAAAAGGAAGAAGAAUUGCGAAACUCAGAUGAUUCUAAAUAUGAGCAUUUAAAGGAGCCCUUACAUGUGCUUAUAGAAGUUGAAGCACCCAAAAGUGAUGCUCAUGCACGAUUGGCAGCUGCAUUAGCUGAAAUUAAGAAAUACAUGGUUCCUGAAAAUGAUGAAAUCAGACAGGAACAAAUGAGAGAAAUGGCAUUACUUAACAGUUAUGAAAAACAUCCUGAUGGGUCAGGAAUAGCAGCAACUUCUGUUAUUGGAAGAGGUCGUGGCGCCCCAGCACCUAUUAUAAGAGUUGGUAUACCUCCACCAGGUGCAAUUAUUUUGAAUGGACAACAACCAAUGGCAAUAAGAGGAAGAGUACCAAGAGUUAUUGCACGAGGAAGACCAGGUAUUCGUCAUAUUGCUUUACCACGGCAUGCUGCACCAGCUCCAGACCCUUACGCUUAUGAUGCAUAUGAUACAACUUAUGAAGCUGCAUAUGAAGGAUAUCCAGAAACUGGUGAAGCUGUGUAUUAUGAGUACCAAGAGGAGUACCCACCAAGUAGUAGUACUGGAAGACGUGGUGAAAAAAGAGCUAGUAUCGGUGGUGGUUACAACCCCAAGAAGUACAGAAGUGAUCCUUACUCAGAGGUAUCUUAUCCUUCCCAGGAAUCUGAUCAUUACCGAUCGGCAUCGAUGCGUUAACCGUGCAAUAAACUUCGUAAAUUUAAUGUUUGUGUUCCCUCAUAAUCGUAAUCGGCUGAUAAUUAGCUGUAAAGUCGACUAGUAGUUUAUAACUGCUGUGCAAUUAAAGUAACUAAUUACAGCUUUUUAAAAUUUUAUACUAGAUGCCUUAAAUGUUGAGAUAAUGUUUGUUUUGUAAAAAAGUUGACGAGUGGUAGCUGCAUUCUUUAGCAUGUAUGCUCCAUUGUAUUUUACUAACGUAAGAAUGAUAUUUUUCACUAAAAUCAUUUUUAUACUUCCAAUUUUAUAUAUUUACGUGUUUAUGAUCAAAUGAAAUUAUAUUUUAAUGAUAUAAAACUUUUGUUUGCUAUUUUUCCAUUCGCUUGUAAAUUUUUCCUGACGUGGUUAUUUGGUUCUGCAUUCUUUUUUAAAUUAGUGUGAUAAAUGUAUGGACUAAAACGUCUUUGUCCAUAACAUUUGAUUGCAAAACUGAAACAGUAUUUUAAAAAGAGACCACCUAAAGUGUAAAUCCAGGAAAUCGGGAUAUCCAUUUAACAAAGAAAGCUCGGAAACAUGAUCUUUGCUGGUGGGAUCAGAGUAGUCACAAAUUUUGAAACCCUGUCAAAUUUUUUUAAAAGCCUAAAUUAAGUUUUCUCAUACAGAAAUGUUUUCCAGGCGAAAAAAGUGUAUACGUUGAGUGGAUAUCCUCGGGGCAGACCUUAUGUCUAACAUUGAAAUUUUUAUGCUAAACUUAUAAGUUAAACCUUACUAAUUCUUUAUUUUCUACACACUAAAGCUAAAACCGUCAUUCUGCAAGUUAAAAACCGUCAUUCUGCAAGCUAAAACCGUCAUUCUGCAAGCUAAAACCGUCAUUCUGCAAGCUAAAACCGUCAUUCUGCAAGUUAAAACUGCUUUAAACAACUAAACAUUAAUAAGGUUUAACUUGUAAAAUGAAUAUUUCUCUAGUUCUAAUUGCUAUUAUUUAUGAAUUUGAUAACCAUGGUAUGUUAUAUAUCUAAACUAAUUAUUUUCAGUACUAUUAGUCAUUGUACUCAUGUCAUUUCUCCUUAUUUUUCUAGAUUUAAACCCUUCGUGGACUUGUUCCAAUAUUUUUCUAUUAAAUGGUUUUAAUACACAAGUGUUGGUGUUAAUUUUCUUAGUUUCAUCUAAAACGACUGACUUAUUUCAUUAGUACAGAAAUCCCUGUUUUUUUAAACGUAUUAAUUUUCGCGCAUACUAAUUUAUUUGUCGCGUUUUUUUAAUUUUUUUUUACAAAAACAAAACCGAAGGGCAUUUUAAAGCCGUUGUUUUGCUUGUAUCAUUGAACGUGUGGACACGUUCAUUUUUCCUUGUGUGAUACACAAAAAUUUUAACACAUUUUUGCGAGCAUUAAUUUUCGUGAAGCAAUGAAGUCAGCUUAUUUGCGUUUUCUUAACAUCAGUUUUUCAAAAGAAUUUGUAGUAUUUGCAAAAAUGGUAUCGCGAAAAUUAUUACAUCCAAAUACAAUAAUCAUUCCGAAACUCACUAUUAAAUAAGGCGUAUUCACUUAACCAGUAAUUAUAUCAUAUCAUUGUAGCUUGGUUGUUAUGGUUAUUUCAUGUGCUUCAAACUUAAACUACACAUUGUCCUUUUAAGCGUUAAAUAGUUUAAAUAAACAACCUCUAGAUGUUUAGGUAUAAGAUUUAUAACCAAAUUGUCGCUAGCUAAUAUUGGUUUGUUACCUUUAUAACAGUAAUCACCCACAAAAUGCUGAUUGUGGUUUAAAAAGGUAGUCAGCUGGGUAUGUUGUGUAGGAAUGAUCGACGAAGAACUGAUUGUUUUAAACCUGAAUAUCAGCAACCUAACUAUUCUGUAGAAAAUCUUCGUGGUUAUUCAUACCAACGAGAUUUUCAUGUUCCUUACAGAGACAAACGACGCAAUUCUCAAAAACGUAAGGACAAUGAAUAUCUACCUCCUCGAAAAAUGACUCCGUCGAACAAUGACCAAAACAGCUUUCGUAACGUUCGAAUCACCAUAAGUAAUCCGAAAGAACGCUACAGAAGAGAACGUCGCCCUGCCGAGUUCGAUGAAAACGAGCGACUAUACAGCAAUCACGUUUCUAACAGAGAUCAGGAGUGGGGGCAGUAUAAGAAUUAUGAAGAAAAGGUUGGCAAAUGUAGAUCUAGGGCUGGUAAUGAGUGAUACGGAGGCGAAAAGAGUGAUUACAGAGACAACGAAAAGUAUUAUAAAUAUGAUAAAAACAAUAUUCUUGGACCGGACAGUUACCGUCCGUGAGGAACGCCCUUGUGAAUAUACAUUAACUCAUCGCAAUGACAUGUACGAUUGUUUUCGAGAUGAAACAAACCAAACUAGCCGCACCUCCCGUGAUUUUCGAAACGUAUAUGAUUCCCAACAGCGAUUUAAGGAUGAUGAGCAUAUUGGCAACAAUUUCAGGAACAGAGCGGAAAAUGUUUUCAGAGAACAGCAAUCGAAAAUCGUUUGCAAUCGGCUUGUAUGAUAGAAUUGAUGAUGGACUCGAGUUUAACGAAGAAUGCUUUCAUAGAAAAAGUGAAGCUUCUGUGCAACUCACAAGAAGUGAUAUAAGUUUAGACUGAUGUGCACAGAGAGAACUCAUACACUUCAAAUUACGAAAAGUUUAGCAAACAAAGUUUUAAUGACGCUUCAAAAUUCGUAGAGGUAAAAAUGCGAAAAAGAGUAACGUCAAGUAGUCACGAAGAUGAUGACGCAAUCAAUAUCUGUGAUGAUAAACAUCAGAUCACUUCUCUUCAUUAUAGCAGUCGCACUGUUGAUUAUAACGGUCGCCUGGUUAGGUCUAAAGAAAUAUUUAAAAAUGAAGAUGAAGGCUAUCUGAAUAAGGAUGUUCGUCGUAGGAUUGCAACACAGUAUCUUCGCAAAUUUAGCGAUCGGAAUAACAAUAGUGCAUGGUACAAAAAUCGAGACGAAGAUAAAGAAUACGCUGAGAGAUUGCAUGAUGAGAUCAUGCGUUAUAAAACUAAUAAACCAGCACCUUCUUGAUAUGAUGACAUAUGUAAAAGUGAGUUUAGGUCAUGUAUGGCAAAUUUAAAUGCAGAUUAUCAAAUUAUGUGUGAUAACAAUAGUGGUGGCAGAAAUACAUCGCCAUACAAGCAAGAAUUUCAGAAGCAGACUCGCCACUACCACCACGACUCUGAUGAAAAUUAUUUUUCAAGUGAACUAGAUUCGGAUUACAAAGGAGUAAACCUUAAUACUUGCAAAAUUAAUCUAAGUAACAGGUCUAGGUCAAACAACUUCAAUAAAUAUUAUGCAAUUGAUGAAGUUGGGUUGAAUCAAAUCCAAAGUCAUAAACGAGAAAGGUUUAACGUGGAGUUACGGACUAUCCCUAAACACUUGCCUAUUUCGUACGAUAAAUCUAUACACGUUUUCCCUUUACCUACUGAAGCAGUUAUUAAUGCAAAACACUGCUUUUUUGAUCGGGGUUGUAUCUCAAAUAUGGAUGUUUACAAACGAUUUUGAUUCACUUAGUGAAAGUGGCUUACUGGUAUAUCCUGAUCAAACGAGCUCUAAACAGUCGGCAACAGAUGGGGAAAAACAAAAAAAUAUAGUUUCAAAGAAACCGGCAGCUAGGUAUGGAGAAAUGGAGACCAAAACACACACAGAUACCGUUGAAACACGAUGGGGAAACCGACGUUCUAGCAAGUUGUCAGAUCAACAUAAAUAUAGUAGUCCCAAGCGCAAAGAUCUUGAAUUUACGUCGAGCUCCGUUAGUGUGGAAGAAAAGAGUGGUGUUACAAGAAAGGGAACAGCAAAUUAUGAAGAGAUUAAAAUAAACACACGUGAAGGCCGACUUGAGAAUCGACGUUGCGAGUUGCCAAAUAAAAAUGAAUACAUAUAUGGUGAUUGCAAGCGCAAGGAACCCGGAAAAUAUACGUUGGGUAAUGAAAGCCGCCGUAUAAAUUCACCAUCAAGGCAUAUUCUUUUUCCAAAAUAAACGACAAAAAAUUGUCUCUCCUGUAAAAAACUUUGAACGCAAAGAUAUUAAACAAAUCCUAAUCGAUGGUGGUGAUGCAUCUGUAUCAAAAUAUAAAAAGGGAAAAAAAGCUGCAACGUUACUUAUGUCUAAACUUCUUCCUUUGUAUCAACUGUACUCUCCGGUCCAGUAUGUUGUACCGUAUAACGUGGCGUUAGCAAAUCAAAAUCCACCAGUUGUUGUGGUAAACAGGCACAGUAUUCAACCAACUUCGGCUUGGGUGUCAAGGCCUAAUCUCACCGGCGAAAGGUUGAUGGAAACAAAUGUGAAAUUAAUCAACCAACUAAGUCAGCCUGUAAAAUGCACUUCUGCGCUUAAAUUUAAAAAAGCUUCUUACCUGCAACGACAACAAGUACGAAUUCUGCAUCAAAUACACUCAUUUCCUCAUCACAAACCAAGCAGAAUGGUAAAAAUGUAAGAAAGCCGUGGUUUGACAAAGAAUGUCGUAACUUACGGAAGAAACGUCAAGAGAAGAUAGCGUCACUGUAUCGUGCCCAAAAAUCGUCAAAUUCUCAGAAAACUGAAAACAUUUCUGUCAUUAAAGAGAAGUUGCGACGAAUAAAUAGAGGUUAUGUAUCGCUGCUGCGUAAGAAAAAAAAAGAGUAUUUCGGUCAGUUAGAAAGGGAAGGAAAACAAGAAGAUAUUUGUAAAAGUGUUCAGGUUCUGUUGUAAAAAAGGCAAUGUUGUGUGAAAAACAUGAAGAAAAAAAUGAAGACGUGGAAAGUGCGCCAAAACUGUCAUAUGUUUGUACGAAAACGGACAGUGACAAUGUGAUUGUGAUAAAUUCAUCGUGCGAAGAAGAUUAAAAGUUACAGAUUAUACACCAUAAUUGAUCCUUAUUUUUUUUUUAUUUUUUUUUUUUUUUUUGUUAUACUCUAUUUUAGUUAACGUUAAAAAUAGCACUCGAAUGUAGUGGGUAUUUAUUUAAAGCAAAGAAAAUGACAGGUAUAAAAAAAGCUUUGGGUGAUCUACUUUAAGGGCACAAACGAUUUCUAUACAGAUUAUUGACGAUGAUGAAGAAUAGAAUUUUUAACUCUAUAACAAAUCUUGUGUUUCUAUAUACGUUUAUUCUUAUUUUUUAUAAAUCAUUUCUAAACAUAGAAAUUUAUUUCUUCGUGUCAUUCGCCAAAAUAAAUCCCCGCUAAAAUAAACAUUUUUUUGUAUUCGCCAAAUUAAAUCCUCGCCAAAUUUUUUAAAAUUUAUCAUUCGCCAAUUUAAAUCCCCGCAAAAUAUUCCAUUUUGUUCAUUCGCCAAAUUAAAUACUCGCCAAAUUUUAUCCACUUAGGUACAACGAUGAUGAGAGUGAACAAAGUGAUCUGAGCGAUUUAGGAAGAAAUGUUUUUGAUUUACUUGAAUAAGAAAAUCAUUUUGAGACCUUAAUAUUUUUCUCGUUUCUUGUUUUUUUUUUGUUUGUUUUUUUUUUUACCAAUUUUAUAAUUCGAAUUAAUACGGAAUUUGCGCAAUUUAAUACCAAAAAAGUGUUUACCGUAAUGCUUCGAAUAAACGCCCCUUGUAUUAAACGCCCCCCUCGAAUAGACGCCCCCAUUUUCAGUCAUUUAUUGAAUAAACGCCCCCUUCUAAUAGACGCUCCUUCCUCAUAAGGGGGCGUUUAUUGGAGGCGAUAGUAAAAAUACAUUAAAAAAUAAAUAACUUAUUGUUUUGCUUUUUUAAUUAAUGGUGUUAUUAUAAUAUUGAAAUUUCAUAAAUACGACUAUACAUCGGUAAAAUAAGGAAAUUUUCUACAAACGCCUUUUUUCCUAAAUCUUAGGUUUAAGGUUUUGGAAAUUUAGUUUUUUUUGCUUUUCAAGUUCAUUCUCUAAAACCUGUGAAUAUCUUUUAUUUUUCUGUUGUGAAGAUAAACUUUGCCGGUACAACAAGACCAACUUCACGAUGCCGUUUA
RNA transcript from Hydractinia symbiolongicarpus, 7080 nucleotides. It is a transcript of the gene named KH domain-containing, RNA-binding, signal transduction-associated protein 2-like, with no coding region annotated. Lineage: Eukaryota; Metazoa; Cnidaria; Hydrozoa; Anthoathecata; Hydractiniidae. The record is from RefSeq and is a predicted model, not a curated record. The transcript has 11 exons.